Molecule: ribosomal RNA, 560 nt
Filed under: Aureobasidium pullulans
Lineage: Eukaryota; Fungi; Ascomycota; Dothideomycetes; Dothideales; Saccotheciaceae
Description: eukaryotic LSU rRNA
Rfam family: Eukaryotic large subunit ribosomal RNA
Source: RNAcentral
GGCGAGNNNNCGGCAACAGCUCAAAUUUGAAAGCUAGCCUUCGGGUUCGCAUUGUAAUUUGUAGAGGAUGAUUUGGGGAAGCCGCCUGUCUAAGUUCCUUGGAACAGGACGUCAUAGAGGGUGAGAAUCCCGUAUGUGACAGGAAAUGGCACCCUAUGUAAAUCUCCUUCGACGAGUCGAGUUGUUUGGGAAUGCAGCUCUAAAUGGGAGGUAAAUUUCUUCUAAAGCUAAAUAUUGGCGAGAGACCGAUAGCGCACAAGUAGAGUGAUCGAAAGAUGAAAAGCACUUUGGAAAGAGAGUUAAAAAGCACGUGAAAUUGUUGAAAGGGAAGCGCUUGCAAUCAGACUUGUUUAAACUGUUCGGCCGGUCUUCUGACCGGUUUACUCAGUUUGGACAGGCCAGCAUCAGUUUCGGCGGCCGGAUAAAGGCUCUGGGAAUGUGGCCUCCACUUCGGUGGAGGUGUUAUAGCCCAGGGUGUAAUACGGCCAGCCGGGACUGAGGUCCGCGCUUCGGCUAGGAUGCUGGCGUAAUGGUUGUAAGCGACCCGUCUUGAAACNACG